AUGAACGCUGGCGGCGUGCCUAAUACAUGCAAGUCGAGCGAACAGACGAGGAGCUUACUCCUUUGACGUUAGCGGCGGACGGGUGAGUAACACGUGGAUAACCUACCUAUAAGACUGGGAUAACUUCGGGAAACCGGAGCUAAUACCGGAUAACAUGUUGAACCGCAUGGUUCAACAGUGAAAGACGGUCUUGCUGUCACUUAUAGAUGGAUCCGCGUCGCAUUAGCUAGUUGGUAAGGUAACGGCUUACCAAGGCAACGAUGCGUAGCCGACCUGAGAGGGUGAUCGGCCACACUGGAACUGAGACACGGUCCAGACUCCUACGGGAGGCAGCAGUAGGGAAUCUUCCGCAAUGGGCGAAAGCCUGACGGAGCAACGCCGCGUGAGUGAAGAAGGUCUUCGGAUCGUAAAACUCUGUUAUUAGGGAAGAACAAAUGUGUAAGUAACUAUGCACGUCUUGACGGUACCUAAUCAGAAAGCCACGGCUAACUACGUG
Molecule: ribosomal RNA, 496 nt
Filed under: uncultured bacterium
Lineage: Bacteria
Description: partial 16S ribosomal RNA
Rfam family: Bacterial small subunit ribosomal RNA
Source: RNAcentral